Long non-coding RNA from Thalassophryne amazonica, 462 nucleotides. RefSeq lists it as uncharacterized. The transcript has 3 exons. NCBI's taxonomy places the organism in Eukaryota, Metazoa, Chordata, Actinopteri, Batrachoidiformes, Batrachoididae. The record is from RefSeq and is a predicted model, not a curated record.
CAUCCUGGGUUUGUAGAACAGUUCCUGGCAAUAUAAAAAAAUUUCAGUCAUGCUAGUUUGUUUCUCAACAUACGCCUCUUACGACCUUUCAAAACAUAUAUACACCCUUAAACUCACAGAUCCUGUUUUUGGUUUUCAGUCGUUAUGAAACGCUCUCCUCUGAUGGUUCAAUACCCCCAAAUAAAGUCACACCUUUGUAGUUAUGGCAACAUGGCACUGAGUUUGCACGUCUGUGCAUCCGCUGUGUUCCUCGCGAAUGACACAAUGACUACUGUUGUCAACUGGUGAAAACCAUGACACAGUUCUCGCCAUGAUGACCACAGGAACUGAGACACGCCUGCAGAACAACCAACAAAAACAAAGGCACUCUGGGAAAGACUGGGAAUGGGGGUGGGGGGUGCAAGGCGUGCGUGUCUCAAAACACAGAUUGGUCCAAUCAGUGUGCGCUGAGGUCAUCAUGGU